This 492-nucleotide ribosomal RNA is filed under the name uncultured bacterium. Its description in RNAcentral is "partial 16S ribosomal RNA". It matches the Rfam family "Bacterial small subunit ribosomal RNA", at positions 29 to 507 of the family's 1533-position model. The record is from RNAcentral.
AGUGAACGCUGGCGGUAGGCCUAACACAUGCAAGUCGAACGGCAGCACAGUAAGAGCUUGCUCUUACGGGUGGCGAGUGGCGGACGGGUGAGGAAUACAUCGGAAUCUACUUUUUCGUGGGGGAUAACGUAGGGAAACUUACGCUAAUACCGCAUACGACCUACGGGUGAAAGCAGGGGAUCUUCGGACCUUGCGCGAUUGAAUGAGCCGAUGUCGGAUUAGCUAGUUGGCGGGGUAAAGGCCCACCAAGGCGACGAUCCGUAGCUGGUCUGAGAGGAUGGACAGCCCACAAGGAAACGGAGCGCGGGUCCAACUCCUAAGGGAGGCAGAAGGGGGGAAUUUUUGGCAAAGGGGGGCAGCCUGACCCCACCAAUCCGGGGGGGGGAAGAAGGGCUUCGGGUUGUAAAACCCUUUUUGUGGGGAAAAAAAAACGGCAGGUUAACACCCCGCGUUUCGGCGGUACCCAAAAAAAAAGCCACGGCUAAAUUUGGG